RNAcentral lists this ribosomal RNA (486 nucleotides) under uncultured Gammaproteobacteria bacterium. RNAcentral's name for it is "bacterial SSU rRNA". It matches the Rfam family "Bacterial small subunit ribosomal RNA", at positions 30 to 506 of the family's 1533-position model. The record is from RNAcentral. Lineage: Bacteria; Pseudomonadati; Pseudomonadota; Gammaproteobacteria.
UUGAACGCUGGCGGCAGGCCUAACACAUGCAAGUCGAGCGGUAACAGGACUAGCUUGCUAGUUGCUGACGAGCGGCGGACGGGUGCGUAACACGUAGGAAUCUGCCCGGUAGUGGGGGAUAGCCCGGAGAAAUCCGGAUUAAUACCGCAUACGCCCUAAGGGGGAAAGCAGGGGAUCUUCGGACCUUGUGCUAUCGGAUGAGCCUGCGUCGGAUUAGCUAGUUGGUAGGGUAAAGGCCUACCAAGGCAACGAUCCGUAGCUGGUCUGAGAGGAUGAUCAGCCACACUGGGACUGAGACACGGCCCAGACUCCUACGGGAGGCAGCAGUGGGGAAUAUUGCACAAUGGGCGCAAGCCUGAUGCAGCCAUGCCGCGUGUGUGAAGAAGGCCUUAGGGUUGUAAAGCACUUUCAGCGAGGAGGAAAGGUUUAAGGCUAAUACCCUUAAGCUGUGACGUUACUCGCAGAAGAAGCACCGGCUAACUCCGU